UACGGAGGGUGCGAGCGUUGUUCGGAAUUAUUGGGCGUAAAGCGCGCGCAGGUGGUGUGUUAAGUCUACCUGUGAAAUGCCGGGGCUCAACCCCGUGCAGGCAGGAGAUACUGGCACGCUGGAGACAGGCAGAGGCGAGCGGAAUUCCGGGUGUAGCGGUGGAAUGCGUAGAGAUCCGGAAGAACACCAGAGGCGAAGGCGGCUCGCUGGGCCUGAUCUGACACUGAGGCGCGAAAGCGUGGGGAGCGAACAGG
Molecule: ribosomal RNA, 254 nt
Filed under: uncultured bacterium
Lineage: Bacteria
Description: partial 16S ribosomal RNA
Rfam family: Bacterial small subunit ribosomal RNA
Source: RNAcentral